Labrus bergylta (ballan wrasse) is the source of this 1675-nucleotide non-coding RNA. Lineage: Eukaryota; Metazoa; Chordata; Actinopteri; Labriformes; Labridae. The record is from RefSeq and is a predicted model, not a curated record.
CCGUGGUGCAGCUGAUGCGUUCAGGUGUCGCAGUGUCCCGUGUGAAGACAGAAAGGGCGAAGUUUCUCUGCACUGCAGCCUGGCCGCUGCUGCCGGAACCAGCAACACAACAAUGGCGACUCCCAGUCGGGACAGCAACUUCACCAGCAGCUCCACCAGCGGUUCCAGUAACACCGGAAACACCGUCGGAUCCACGUCGCACCAUUUUCACCCGCAGACUCAGAGCAGCAGCAUGCAAGAAACCAACACCUGCUGGAGAUGUCAGAACGAAACAGGGUUUCAGAUAAGCCUGUCUGGUGUUUCCCAAAGUAAGCCCUAGACCUCGCACACAAAGCACACUGACCUUGGACUCUGUGGGUGCAUCUCAGUAGUCUAAAGUGGUUUCCUUUCCUCGCCGGCUCUCUCUGAGACGCGUUUCUGUUCUGUCACUGGAAGCCGCUGUACACUACUGACCAGCCUGUGUGGUGCUCUGGUAUUUGGGGGAGUCUGUCCGCUGUUCACUGCUGUCACAAAAUCAGCUUUGGCAGAAAGGAAAUGAAUUUGCAUCGAGGGCUCAGAGGUUCAGGGAUCUGUUUGCACUGAAGAGCUGGCUGAGGAGGGCAUGAGGAAAAGACGACUCAACACUUAAAGUCAGCACGAAGCUUCAAACCCAGCCCAUGGUGGAUCUAUUCUACAGAAACAUUCAAAUCAUAGACUGUAUAUAAGAACUAGACUGGCCUCUUGAUUUCGUAAAUCUGCAGUCCUCCUAAUGGCCAGCAGGGGUAGACUUGUCUGUUUGCUAAACUGGGUCUAUGAUAAAAUGUUCCUGCUUGUCAUUGAUUAAUUCCAUCAGUAGUAGUUUAGUAAAUGAUGGUCCCAUUUAGAGUCAGAGAGACAAGGAAGAGGGGGAGGAGUUAAGGGCGGGGCUUCCAGUGACAAGUCAUUACCAUGGCAACCAGAAUAGUGUCUUGUUUAGCGUUUAGCUGUACAAUAAAAUACUUGAGGCUUUUAUUUCUUGGUAACUAAAUUUUGUGUAAAAACGGUUUUAUGAAUCCAAAGUAAUAAAACCAUUACUGUGAAUAGUGCAGGCAGCUUGUUAGCCUUAGCAUUAGCAUUACCUAUUAACGUAGCAUUGGCAUUAGCAUUGGCUAACAGUGUUGCUAGCUAGCGACAUGCAAGUUUUAAAAACUGCUCCCUGUCAACAUUGAUAAAAGCGAAAAAUGUUCACAAACCCCAAAGCGACCACAUCGAGGCCACGCCCACUUCUUAUACACAGUCUAUGAGCCCUUUAAACGUCUACGGGUGAAGGAUGCUGUUGAAUUAAGUGUGAUUUAAGUGUUGGGUCACUUUGAUAUGUGACGGGAGCUGUUCAGCUGUGAUUACACAUUUCUUUUCUUUUUUUAAGUCUAUUGUCUUUGGUUCAGGGAUUCCCAACACGAGGAUUCUGCAGGAAGGCUCGUUUUGUGUCAUUGCAACACAAACAUCUUUGAUAAAUAUAUAAAAAUGUAUUUCCUCAAAUAAAAGUCUGGUCCUGAGUAAAGUCAGAAGCAAAAUGAAUACAUAAAAGCUGAUCUCAAAUACAGCCUGAGAAAAAAGGCUGUGUGAAAAUGGUCUUCUCGUAUCAUAACAACGGUUUAUAUAUCUAUGCUGUUCUUCCUCGUUCUUUUCCGGUUUCUCCUUUUUUGGGGAAUGACGA